RNAcentral lists this transfer RNA (84 nucleotides) under Fidelibacterota bacterium. RNAcentral describes it as "tRNA-Ser". It matches the Rfam family "tRNA". From Rfam's summary of the family: Transfer RNA (tRNA) molecules are approximately 80 nucleotides in length. Their secondary structure includes four short double-helical elements and three loops (D, anti-codon, and T loops). Lineage: Bacteria; Pseudomonadati; Fidelibacterota. RNAcentral also lists the same sequence under 1 other name. The record is from RNAcentral.
GGAGGCGUAGACCUAACUGGUAAGGCAGCGGUCUUGAAAACCGCCGGGCGUUAGCCCUUGGGGGUUCGAGUCCCUCCGCCUCCG